Molecule: ribosomal RNA, 300 nt
Filed under: uncultured Halococcus sp.
Lineage: Archaea; Methanobacteriati; Methanobacteriota; Halobacteria; Halobacteriales; Halococcaceae
Description: bacterial SSU rRNA
Rfam family: Bacterial small subunit ribosomal RNA
Source: RNAcentral
GCUAACGCGGUGCCAGAGGGCUGUGUAGUGCAGUGGGGGCAAGGGUGAAUCGGAAUUACUGGGGGUAAAGGGCGCGUAGGCGGUCAGGUCAGUCGGAUGUGAAAUCCCCGGGCUCAACCUGGGAAUUGCAUUCGUGACUGCAUGGGUAGAGUGUGGAAGAGGGAAGCGGAAUUUCCGGUGUAGCGGUGAAAUGCGUAGAUAUCGGAAGGAACACCAGUGGCGAAGGCGGCUUCCUGGUCCAACACUGACGCUGAGGCGCGAAAGCGUGGGGAGCGAACAGGAUUAGAUACCCUGGUAGUC